RNAcentral lists this ribosomal RNA (253 nucleotides) under uncultured bacterium. RNAcentral's name for it is "partial 16S ribosomal RNA". It matches the Rfam family "Bacterial small subunit ribosomal RNA", at positions 524 to 776 of the family's 1533-position model. The record is from RNAcentral.
UACGUAGGGUGCAAGCGUUGUCCGGAAUUAUUGGGCGUAAAGAGCUCGUAGGCGGUCUGUCGCGUCUGCUGUGAAGACUCGGGGCUUAACCCCGGGCCUGCAGUGGGUACGGGCAGACUAGAGUGCGGUAGGGGAGACUGGAAUUCCUGGUGUAGCGGUGAAAUGCGCAGAUAUCAGGAGGAACACCGGUGGCGAAGGCGGGUCUCUGGGCCGUAACUGACGCUGAGGAGCGAAAGCGUGGGGAGCGAACAGG